Molecule: ribosomal RNA, 56 nt
Filed under: Aspergillus niger
Lineage: Eukaryota; Fungi; Ascomycota; Eurotiomycetes; Eurotiales; Aspergillaceae
Description: partial 18S ribosomal RNA
Rfam family: Eukaryotic small subunit ribosomal RNA
Source: RNAcentral
UGGAAGUAAAAGUGCUAACAAGGUUUCCGUAGGUGAACCUGCGGAAGGAUCAUUAC